Fukomys damarensis (Damara mole-rat) is the source of this 299-nucleotide long non-coding RNA. RefSeq lists it as uncharacterized. NCBI's taxonomy places the organism in Eukaryota, Metazoa, Chordata, Mammalia, Rodentia, Bathyergidae. The transcript is spliced from 3 exons. The record is from RefSeq and is a predicted model, not a curated record.
ACGGCUACCUUCCUAGCACUGAAGAUGGCGGCAGCAGCGCCAGCAGGGGAGGGCCUGGCCAAGACCCUCUGGCACUAAAGAUGGCAGAGGCAGCCUGCAGGAGAGGGCGCGGCCAAGAAGAAUUUGUACCUUCAGCGAAGAGAGUGAAGCUUUGAGAAAAGAAGCUGCUUAGAGUUUAGAGGGCAGGCAUGUGGCUGCACAUAGACCGGGAAGGAGUCAUCAGAGCGAUCAUUAGUGAAACAGUGAUUCAUAAAGAAUUCAGCCUCCUUCCAAGCCAUCCGUUUUCGUCAUGAAAAAUG